AAAAGGGAAAAAGCAAUAAAAAAAGUAGAAUAAUCAGAAGGAGAAAACUGUACAGGUGCAUUAAUCUGGAACACACACAUAUGUAUGUUAUUGCACAGCCAGUCUGUCGGUCCGUAAGUCAGGGUGCCAUCAUUCGGAAGAAGUACCUACAGCCACGGCCACCAAACUGAUCGGAUCUGCGCUUCUUUUUGUUAUAAAUAAAAACAGAAAUGAAUUUAAAUCAGGCUAGCAACCCCGUCGAAGUUUCGCCAGCACGCAAAGAAAUGUGGCCAUGUUUAGUAAGAGGCUGCUCAGGGCAUAAGCGGUCAUACCAGAUCCCGCUUGGAAAUAGCAAAUAUUGGUACGCUAAUCUGGGAAUAAAGGUAGCGCGAAGGCGCUCUAGGGUGUGCGCAAAACAUUUCCUGGCGGAAUGCUUGUUGGAUCAUCGUCUUAGGAUGGGAAGCGUUCCGACUGAAAAUUUAGGCCGAGAGCCAGUGUAUUUACCUAAGUUUAGCAGACAUCAAAGAAUAAGCAUACAAAAAGCUAAAGCUAAGCUCCAAGAAGAGAACAAACAAAUUGAUGGAUGGGACCAGGAGGAUAUAUCCGAAUUUGAUAAAUAUAUCGUUGAAGAUCCCCAGUCCGAUAGCGCGGAACAGUCCACACAUUCCGAAAAGGAUGGAUAUGUCAUUGAAGAUCAUUCACAGUCGGAGUCAACAUUAAAAUCCAUAAAUUUGUAUUUGAAGCAGAGAAAUAAUGAGCUGCAAGCAGAGGCUGAAUGCCUACGUUUAGAAAAUUCUCAAUUAAGAAUGGAGAACAUUUCUUUGAAACGAAGUUUUGAAAUCCAUAAAUGUUUGUUCGAAUAAUGAAAAACAUCCUCCAUGGCAUAACGGAUUUAUCGGCAAUGAAUUAUAAA
This is a long non-coding RNA of Drosophila persimilis, 892 nucleotides long. RefSeq lists it as uncharacterized. The record is from RefSeq and is a predicted model, not a curated record. The transcript is spliced from 3 exons. Lineage: Eukaryota; Metazoa; Arthropoda; Insecta; Diptera; Drosophilidae.